This 373-nucleotide transfer-messenger RNA is filed under the name Amycolatopsis magusensis. RNAcentral describes it as "Standard tmRNA". It matches the Rfam family "transfer-messenger RNA". Rfam says of the family: Bacterial tmRNA, also known as 10Sa RNA or SsrA, is named for its dual tRNA and mRNA-like properties. Lineage: Bacteria; Bacillati; Actinomycetota; Actinomycetes; Pseudonocardiales; Pseudonocardiaceae. The record is from RNAcentral.
GGGGGUGAACGGUUUCGACUUUGGACGUCGAUUCGAGGGAAGCGUGCCGGUGCAGGCGAGAGACCACCGUAAGCGUCAUCGCAAACCAAUAAGCGCCAAGGCCAAUAGCCAGCGCGACUACGCCCUCGCCGCCUGAGCGAGCGCGUGGUCUGUCGGCCCGGGAGUGCCUCCGUCCCGGUCGCCGGCAUCAGCUAGGAGGCUCUACCGCCGGACCCGGCCACGGGGUCCGGUCGGGAAACCAACAGUGGCUGGGCCCGUCACAUCGGCUUGUUCGCGUGAUCGAUGGGGCCGAGUAGAGGCAUAGCGGACUGCGCACGGAGAAGCCUUGUUGAGGCGCCAGAGGACCCGGGUUCAAUUCCCGGCACCUCCACUU